GUACUGCUGAAGAGUCCCAAAAUAGUCUGACGAAGCAGCUGUCCAGUAC
This is a non-coding RNA of Trichobilharzia regenti, 49 nucleotides long. The record is from Rfam. NCBI's taxonomy places the organism in Eukaryota, Metazoa, Platyhelminthes, Trematoda, Strigeidida, Schistosomatidae.